UACGGGGGGAGCAAGCGUUGUUCGGAUUUACUGGGCGUAAAGGGCGCGUAGGCGGUCGUGCCAAGUCACUUGUGAAAUCUCCGGGCUUAACUCGGAACGGUCAAGUGAUACUGUCGGACUAGAGUACAGAAGGGGCAACUGGAAUUCUCGGUGUAGCGGUGAAAUGCGUAGAUAUCGGAAGGAACGCCGGUGGCGAAAGCGCUCUGCUAGGCCGCAACUGACACUGAGGGACGAAAGCUAGGGGAGCGAAUGGG
Molecule: ribosomal RNA, 254 nt
Filed under: uncultured bacterium
Lineage: Bacteria
Description: partial 16S ribosomal RNA
Rfam family: Bacterial small subunit ribosomal RNA
Source: RNAcentral